CGCGGCCUAUCAGCUUGUUGGUGAGGUAAUGGCUCACCAAGGCGACGACGGGUAGCCGGCCUGAGAGGGCGACCGGCCACACUGGGACUGAGACACGGCCCAGACUCCUACGGGAGGCAGCAGUGGGGAAUAUUGGGCGAUGGAGGAAACUCUGACCCAGCGACGCCGCGUGAGGGAUGAAGGCCUUCGGGUUGUAAACCUCUUUCAGUAGGGGAGAAGCGAAAGUGACGGUACCUACAGAAGAAGCACCGGCUAACUAUGUGCCAGCAGCCGCGGUAAUACAUAGGGUGCAAGCGUUGUCCGGAAUUAUUGGGCGUAAAGAGCUCGUAGGUGGUUCGAUACGUCGGAUGUGAAAAUCAGGGACUCAACCCCUGACCUGCAUCCGAUACGGUCGAGCUAGAGUUUGGUAGGGGAGACUGGAAUUCCUGGUGUAGCGGUGGAAUGCGCAGAUAUCAGGAGGAACACCGAUGGCGAAGGCAGGUCUCUGGGCCAAUACUGACACUGAGGAGCGAAAGCGUGGGGAGCGAACAGGAUUAGAUACCCUGGUAGUCCACGCCGUAAACGGUGGGCGCUAGUUGUGCGAACCUUCCACGGUUUGUGCGACGCAGCUAACGCAUUAAGCGCCCCGCCUGGGGAGUACG
Molecule: ribosomal RNA, 641 nt
Filed under: uncultured Actinomycetes bacterium
Lineage: Bacteria; Bacillati; Actinomycetota; Actinomycetes
Description: bacterial SSU rRNA
Rfam family: Bacterial small subunit ribosomal RNA
Source: RNAcentral